AAUAGAUGGCGCCGUUGACUUUUUCUCACAUGUUUGACCAUUCGUUUUAUUCAAAAAAUGAGUUGUUUUAUCACUCAUAGUACUUUAAGUGUGAUUUAUAUCAUAUACAUUUGCAUAAAAUUUUUGAAUAAGACGAAUGGUCAAACAUGUGAGAAAAAGUCAACGGCGUCAUCUAUU
This 177-nucleotide microRNA precursor is filed under the name Oryza rufipogon (brownbeard rice). RNAcentral describes it as "MIR812 microRNA precursor family". It matches the Rfam family "MIR812 microRNA precursor family". Lineage: Eukaryota; Viridiplantae; Streptophyta; Magnoliopsida; Poales; Poaceae. The record is from Rfam by way of RNAcentral.